ACAUUGCUUUCUUCUAUUUCUCGUUCUCCCCCUGCAACUCUUCGCAGCUCCGGCUGCUUCAGUGAAGGCCUUGGAUUUCUGUCAGUAGUGACCAGCAGCAAUAAUAGUAGUAACAGAUGGGAACGGAGGAGACCAACUCAGCGCAGCAACAACCUGCUAACGAGGAGGCACCAGAAGAUGUGGAGGCGUUGCUUGAGGCUGCUAGAUACGACGACAUUGAUGACAUCAUAAGUUUAUCAUCUGCUGGUGUUCCUCUUAAUUCUAAGGAUUCUCAAGGCCGAACAGCACUACAUAUGGCUGCUGCUAAUGGACAUCUUGACAUUGUGCAGUACCUUAUCAGAAAUGGGGUGGAUCUCAAUGCAUCCAAUUUGGAGAAGAAUACCCCUCUUCAUUGGGCUUGCCUCAAUGGGCAUAUUGAGGUGGUCAAGAGUUUGAUUCUGGCAGGAGCAGACGUGACUACUUUAAAUAGUUACGAGAGGACACCGAUGGAUGAAGCAGUUAGCAGGGGGAAGAUGGACAUAAUUGAUGCAAUCAAUACAGCAGUUGCUCAAGUUGAACUUAAUGGUGUUACAGUUUCAUAGUUAUCCUGUACCCUUCCUAUCAUAUCCUACUCAUUAGCAAUUGUUGGGAAUAUCUUAGAAAGAGUCCUAGACAUUGCUAACUCUUAUAUUUGACUUUUGAGCUAUUACAAGGCCAGAAAAGGUACUUUGUGGGUUCUCUUCUCAAUUUUAGUGCAAUUUUAAGACACCUUGCAUAAGGGCAUGGUGAAUGAAUCAAAAUUCUCAUGGAUAUCAUGAAAUAGAUCGAGCCUGUGUUAAACUUAUUGCCGUCUUUCAUUUGUUAAAAGAUACGAGGUCGGAGGUUCAGCGGGGUUUGAAAUAGUUAGACUGGCCUGUGAAUAAAACUUUUGAGUUCGGCUCUUUCCAUCAA
This is an RNA transcript of Nelumbo nucifera (sacred lotus), 930 nucleotides long. It is a transcript of the gene named ankyrin repeat family protein, with no coding region annotated. The record is from RefSeq and is a predicted model, not a curated record. NCBI's taxonomy places the organism in Eukaryota, Viridiplantae, Streptophyta, Magnoliopsida, Proteales, Nelumbonaceae.